Molecule: long non-coding RNA, 269 nt
Filed under: Mytilus galloprovincialis (Mediterranean mussel)
Lineage: Eukaryota; Metazoa; Mollusca; Bivalvia; Mytilida; Mytilidae
Source: RNAcentral
GGUGCUGAAUAUCAGGAUACGGUCUUGGUCUCCAUCAUCCAUUCAUGUCUUGAAAUUGGCAGUUGAGGUAUCGUCUGACUGUGCCGGGUAUGGUGUGAUGUCUUGCAGGUUGUAAAGGUGGGCAUACUCUGGACUAGUCUUUCGGAGUCGUUGUCCUAGUCUCUGUUGCGUAGUUUGACUAAUUCGUCUGCAUAGAUUGUUGGUACUGGUGUGCUUUCAACAAGACAUCUUUGUUUCGUUCUUUUGAGUACUUGAUCAAAAUUGAGUUG